This 524-nucleotide long non-coding RNA is filed under the name Homo sapiens (human). Its description in RNAcentral is "non-protein coding lnc-SEMA5A-9:1". Lineage: Eukaryota; Metazoa; Chordata; Mammalia; Primates; Hominidae. The record is from RNAcentral.
AUGGCAUAUACUAUAUUUUUAUUAAGUGUCUUUUUGACUAUAGGGUUUGUAGGUUUCUCUUCGAAACCUUCUCCUAUUUAUGGAGGUCAAGGGCUUAUUACUAGUGGUGCUGUGGGUUGUGGUAUUGUGUUGAAUUUUGGUGGGGCUUUCAUGGGGUUGAUAGUCUGUGUGGUUUAUUUGGGUGGUAUGAUGGUUGUUUUUGGCUAUACUAUGACGAUGGAAACUGAGGAGUAUUCUGAAACAUAAGGGUUAAAUAUUGACAUCUGAGGAGAUUUCUUAUUAGGACUGUUAAUGGAGUUGAUGCUGGUUCUGUGAUUAAUUGAGCACGAUGGAGUGGGGAUCACGAUUGCUUUUAAUAGCAUAGAGAGUUGGAUGAUUUUUGAGGGUGAGGGGGCAGGGUUAUUGCGUGAAGAUUCUCUGGGUGUGGCUGCCUUGUACAGUUAUGGGUGCUGAUUAGUGGUAGUUGCUGGUUGAUCAUUAUUUUUUAGUAUUUACGUUGCAAUUGAAAUUACUUAGGAUAAUAG